UUAAGUUCAGCGGGUAGUCCUACCUGAUUUGAGGUCAGAGCAAAAGAUGUCAGAAGACGGAUUAGAAGCGGUCUCCAGCCUUCACCAGCGAAACUUAUUACGCCAGAUUCAACCUUGAACCGCUAACACCAUUAAGGCGAGCCAGACGGCAACACCCAAGUCCAUCGUCAUCGGAAACCCGAUGGGAUGAGAUUUUCAUG
RNAcentral lists this unclassified non-coding RNA (200 nucleotides) under Cryptococcus sp. (in: basidiomycete fungi). Its description in RNAcentral is "Cryptococcus sp. partial internal transcribed spacer 2". Lineage: Eukaryota; Fungi; Basidiomycota; Tremellomycetes; Tremellales; Cryptococcaceae. The record is from RNAcentral.